CUCAACUCACUCGGCUUUGCGGGAGGCUCAAAGCCUCAGGUUAGGGCAGAGGUGCGGGCUUCCUCUGCUCUCUCUCUCCCAAGACACUGGUUUCUGUUUGGGAGCAGAUCCCUUCUUGGAUCCACGCUGCUUCUGCGAUUCUGAACAAACCAUCAAUCUCCUGAGUCUCAGUUCUCCCUUCUGUAUAAUGGCCUUUAAAGCCUGGUGGAGUGUUGGGGGCACAGGAGAUAAUACUGGGGAAAAUCACGCUCUCUCUUAAGUAGAAACCGAAUUUCACUUUUAGUUUACAAUGCUCAGAAUAAUCUGGGCCAAAUGUGCGAAGCCAAGUAAGAGCUGAGUGGCUACUCACACACAGAAUAUAUGUUUAUACACAUACACAUAAUGUUUUUAGCAUACCAGGACUGCUUAGACGUCUUUAAAGAGAACACUAGCCCAGGUCCUUCUCCAGGGAGGCGACUGUCUCCAGCAGGACUUUUUCUCCCCUCUACUGAGGCCACCUACCUGUCUUAAGCCCCCAGACCCCAUCCGUUCUGGGGUUCCCCUGCAAUCCAGAGCCAGGCUGAGGUGGUAUGCGGGAAGAUCUCCCUUUGGAAAAUGUUUCUGGAUAAUUUCCCAACUCCUUGACCAUGUUCUCCCCACCUCACCCACAUUCAGAUAACACAGGUUCUAAGGCUCCUUCACUCCUCCACCCCCGGGGGGGAUACUCCUUGGGCCUGGCCCUGUGGAGGAGCUGGGAGGUGGGAUCCAGAACCAAUUGCAAUUCUGGACGCACACUCAACCGCCUCCUCACUCCCUUUUAACCUUUCCCUCUCGUCAGAAGCCAAAUUGAGAUAGUCUUGAGUUUUGAUUUAAUUCCCGAAAUGGAGUCAUAAUCUGCUUAGUGUCCUUUUUCCCGAGUCCUAGAUACUGAAGUGUGUGUGUCUGUCAGGGGGAGUUAAAAGAGCAGCUCUGUGACCUUUGGAGGACCCUCACACUCACUCAUCUCCCAAACACCACCAAAGAGCAGGAGACGCCAUGGCCCUGAGUUGCUGGGUAGUAUGAUGAUGGUACUGACAACUCACAUUUACUAGGCACUUACCACAUGCCAGUACUGAGACAGGCACUAUACACGCAUUUCUCACUUAAUUCUCACAACUACCUUUCAGGUAGGUACCAUUCAUAUCCCCAAUUUACAGAUGAAGAAACUGAGGCUUAGCGAGGUUAAGCAGUUUAUGUUCCAUCCUGCAGUGAUUACAGACGGUCCUUGACUUAUGAUGCUUUGACUUACAAUUUCUCAGCUUUAUGAUGAUGUGGAAGUGAUAUGCAUUCAUUAGAUACUGUACUUCUAAUACUCAUACAACCACUCUGUUUUUCACUUUCAGUACAGUAUAUUAUAACAUGUUGAAUCUCAUGUUGAAUACAUGAGAUGAAUAAAUAUCUCAUGUUGAAUACAUGAGAUAUUCAACACUUUAUUAUAAAAUAGGCUUUGUGCUAGAUGAUCUUGCCCAACUGUAGGCUGAUGAAAGUGUCCUGAACACUUUAAGGUAAGCGAGGCUGAACUAUGAUGUUUGGUGGGUUAGGUGUAUGAAAUGCAUAUCCACCUUACAAUAUUUUCAACUUACUACAGCUUUAUCGGGACACAGCCUCAUCGUAAGUCAAGGAGAGUCUAUUAUUAAGUGGCAGAGCCCAAAUUUGAAACUACACAGUCAGACUGCAGAGCCUGUGCUCUUAACCACUUAGUUGUGUGACACCUGGCAGGGUAUUUAACUUCUACAUGCCCUGUUCCCUCAUUUGCAAAACACAGAUAAGUAGGGAUGAUAAGAUAUUCCCUUCAAAGAAUUAUGUUGUGUAAUUGAGCUAAGGCAUUCACCAUACUCGCAGUAAGCAUUCAGUAGUUUAGGUGCCCUACACACUGGAGCAAGGUUGAGGAAGGGAAAGGGUACAAUCCAAUGGGCUAUUAAUUAUUCAUUGUUACUGUUGAUAAUAAUAGUUAUCAUGCAUUGAGAUCCAACUGAGCAUUGGCCACCCUACAAGGUAAAAAUUAUGUCUGUUUUACAGAUGAAGAAACUGAGUUUCACAUAGAUUAGGUAAAUUACCUAAAGCCAUCCAGUUAAUAAGUGACAGAACAGAGCUCUUGUUCAAACACUGGGCCCUUGACUCCAAAGCCUGCAGUUCCCAGCACCCCCAGGGUCACCAAAACCUGGCCUCUCCUGGGGGAGGUCAGGGCUGAGGCCAACAAGCCCAAGUCACACCCUUUACCACCUGGGACAUGAUUUUCUCCAGGUGAGCAAUGUUUUCUUAAAAGAACAGGAGGACAGUAAAUAAUUAACUAAGACAGUUUCUCCCUCCCUGAAGCCAAGGUAGAACCUCCCCCCUACAGCCAACCCCCACUCUCCUCACUCCUGUUUCCUCUGGGCUCAAGUUUGUGGCCAUUAAAUAGAAGAGGAGAAAGUUUGAACCAGGCAUGAAAUAUUUAUCAGAACCUGAAGAACAUCUCUCUUUCUUCACAAGAAGCUUGUAACACAAUAACUACCACUUAUCGAGCCCCUGCUGAAUGCUUGGAUCUAUGCAAAUAAAAUUUAAUCUGAUCUACAGAACAACUCUAUAAGGUACAGCUGUUGGGAGCUGCAUCUCCUACCCUCAGUCUCCCUGUCUGUGGUUCCAGAGGGAAGAAGAGGGGAAAAAAAGGAUGAAGAGAAUUGUUUCAGUGCUGGGGGAGGUGAGUUUACAGCAGGGAUUUAGAUGGGCAUUACCUCAUGGGAUAGGAGCAAUUUUCUCCCUCUCCAGGCCUCUCACAGAUGUGAAACAACCGGCAGAUCUGACUUUCCCACCCCUAACCAUCAGAGGGGAUGAUAUGACUUGAAACCUGUGCUUCUCGAUUGAGAGGCUGGUGGGGGAAAGAGAGAUCAGGAAAAGGGUCCAGAUGUGUGUUCAGGGGUCCCCAGAGAGUUGAGGGAAACUAGCAUCUCCUUAGGGUAAGGAAGACAAAAUGACCAUUCCUGAUCCCAGAUUGCUUAGAUACUGUGCCUGGGAGUCCUCCCACCUCACCUUAAUUCCUGUCUCCACACACAGCUUGGCCAAGUUUCUUCCCCUGUUGGAGUCUCACUCCCAAUCCGCUACUCUAUCUCUCCAGGAGCCUACAAAGCACUUUGAAAUCCGAAGUUUGUGGGAAGUGGCUGUAUUGCACAAAUACUCUGAGGUGCAACAUUACUUGACUGGUAAUGAGGCAACCAUCCCACCUAGGGCAGAGUUCAAGGACUGCCUUCAAGAGGGGCUGGCCUCAGUUUGCCUGUUACAGAAGCCAAGGGCUAACAGAGGCUCCCCUCUGCCUCACAAAGAAGGAGAUAAAUGGGUCCACUGGAGAGCAACGGUCACAAUCAAGUCUUAAUGAUGAAUUAAUAAUUCAUAAUUACCCCAGACUUGCAGAUAAGCACAAGCCUACUGGAAUUAUUUCCCAGGGAGGAACACAGUCAGAAAGGGUAAGAAGGGGACUUCAGUACAGACAUUACUUCCAGAGGCCGUUAAGUUCAUUCCUCUGCUUCCCAACCAGAACCCGGAAGAGAUUCAUUAGCUUCCUUGGCUGAUUCCUCCUAACAGCUACCACCCCCUGAGCUUCUAAACAGUGCCAUAUUGCCCCUCUGUUCUUCAUAAGGCCAGAGGACCAUUCCUACCAAAGUGACCUCAGAGCCUGGACUCUGGAUUUCUGGCGUCUCUCUGUUCUCUGCUCCCCAUUCUGCUAUUUACAUACGAGGUCCCCUGUAGGAGGGCCUGGUGCUAGGUGUCCCGGCGAGAUGUGGACAUCUUUCUGGCUCUUCUCCUUCUCUUAUCUAAGUCCUCACAUGGUGGGAAAAUACCUCUCUAACGCUAUGUAGAAAGAGAAGCAGGGAGUGCCCCUUCUAGCGUGGAUGCCUUUGGUUCCCAGAUCUGGAUUUGAGGGGCUGGCUCUAUCUCUUAAGACAUUUACCUAGUAUUGAUAAUGGAGAUGGGGCCUAAAUAGGGCUAGGGAGGCACACCCAACUCCCGACCCAGCUCUCUGCUGUUCCCCUUCCCAGUGCACACAAUCCCAAUUCCCACUCCAGAAAUUUUUUUAAAAACAUAUCUUAAAAGAAACCUCGAAGAGCCAAGCAGACCCUCAGCUUCAAGGUAUCUCCUCAUUCUCUCUCUCUCUCGUUCGCUCUCUCUCUCUCUCUCUCUCUCUGUCUCUCUGAAUCUACAAAGAAGGAGUGAGUUUUGUCUCUCCAAGUACUCAGAGCCUUAGAUCACAAAGGGGCCUUAGAUCCUGGUCUUUAGGAGAUCUUUGACCACCACCUCUGCUGUGGCACGACCUUUGUCAAAAUGCUAGAAAGAAGAGAGACUGGCUCUUAGACCAAGGGAAUUUGGGAUUUGAAAGGUCUUCCAAUUACAAUUCUAUAGAUUUCCUUCCCAUUAGCCUUUUCAUGUGCAUCAAAUGUAAAUGGCAGGCUAAACCUACAGGAUGAAGAGAGUUGAAAGACUGCUGUCUAAAAAUGCCCUUUUCCAAAUCUGUGGGUGCAGAAGCAUAUUGAAAAGCAGCUACCCAGCCUGGCGGUGUGGCACAUGCCUGCAGUCUCACAUA
Molecule: long non-coding RNA, 4573 nt
Filed under: Homo sapiens (human)
Lineage: Eukaryota; Metazoa; Chordata; Mammalia; Primates; Hominidae
Description: HSALNT0400627
Source: RNAcentral